This 29-nucleotide non-coding RNA is filed under the name Mus musculus (house mouse). The record is from RNAcentral. Lineage: Eukaryota; Metazoa; Chordata; Mammalia; Rodentia; Muridae.
UAUCUAGGGUUGUAGAUGGUUUUGUUUGG